AGAGUUUGAUCAUGGCUCAGAUUGAACGCUGGUGGCAUGCUUAACACAUGCAAGUCGAACGGUAACAGGCAGAAGCUUGCUUUUGUGCUGACGAGUGGCGGACGGGUGAGUAACGCGUAGGAAUCUGCCCUUAGAUGGGGGACAACUCGAGGAAACUCGAGCUAAUACCGCAUAAUACUUUCGGGUUAAAGGUGGCACUUAGGUGCUGUCGUCUAGGGAUGAGCCUGCGUCUGAUUAGCUAGUUGGUAGGGUAAAAGCCUACCAAGGCGACGAUCGGUAGCUGUUCUGAGAGGAAGAUCAGCCACACUGGGACUGAGACACGGCCCAGACUCCUACGGGAGGCAGCAGUGGGGAAUAUUGGACAAUGGGGGCAACCCUGAUCCAGCAAUGCCACGUGUGUGAAGAAGGCCUGAGGGUUGUAAAGCACUUUCGGCGGGGAGGAAAGGAUGAUGAUUAAUAGUUGUUAUCUGUGACGUUACCCGCAUAAGAAGCACCGGCUAACUCUGUGCCAGCAGCCGCGGUAAUACAGAGGGUGCAAGCGUUAAUCGGAAUUACUGGGCGUAAAGCGCACGUAGGCGGCUAAUUAAGCCAGAUGUGAAAGCCCCGGGCUCAACCUGGGAACUGCAUUUGGAACUGAUUAGCUAGAGUGUAGUAGAGGGAAGUGGAAUUUCCGGUGUAGCGGUGAAAUGCGUAGAUAUCGGAAGGAACAUCAGUGGCGAAGGCGGCUUCCUGGACUAACACUGACGCUGAGGAGCGAAAGCGUGGGUAGCGAACAGGAUUAGAUACCCUGGUAGUCCACGCUGUAAACGAUGAGUACUAGCUGUUGGUAUUUUAAAGAAUAUUAGUAGCGCAGCUAACGCGUUAAGUACUCCGCCUGGGGACUACGGUCGCAAGACUAAAACUCAAAGGAAUUGACGGGGGCCCGCACAAGCGGUGGAGCAUGUGGUUUAAUUCGAUGCAACGCGAAGAACCUUACCUACUCUUGACAUCCUAAGAAAGCCGAAGAGAUUUGGCUGUGCCGAAAGGAACUUAGAGACAGGUGCUGCAUGGCUGUCGUCAGCUCGUGUUGUGAGAUGUUGGGUUAAGUCCCGUAACGAGCGCAACCCUUAUCCUUAGUUGCCAGCGCGUCAUGGCGGGGACUCUAAGGAGACUGCCGGUGUUAAACCGGAGGAAGGCGGGGACGACGUCAAGUCAUCAUGGCCCUUACGAGUAGGGCUACACACGUGCUACAAUGGUUGGUACAGAGGGAAUCGAAGUCGCGAGGCCAAGGUAAACUCAGAAAGCCAAUCGUAGUCCGGAUUGGAGUCUGCAACUCGACUCCAUGAAGUUGGAAUCGCUAGUAAUCGCGAAUCAGAAUGUCGCGGUGAAUACGUUCUCGGGCCUUGUACACACCGCCCGUCACACCAUGGGAGUGGUUUGCACCAGAAGUAGCUAGGCUAACCGUAAGGGGGCCGGUUACCACGGUGUGGAUCAUGACUGGGGUGAAGUCGUAACAAGGUA
This 1500-nucleotide ribosomal RNA is filed under the name metagenome. RNAcentral describes it as "bacterial SSU rRNA". It matches the Rfam family "Bacterial small subunit ribosomal RNA". The record is from RNAcentral.